RNA transcript from Mus musculus (house mouse), 14369 nucleotides. It is a transcript of the gene named nuclear VCP-like, with no coding region annotated. The transcript has 23 exons. NCBI's taxonomy places the organism in Eukaryota, Metazoa, Chordata, Mammalia, Rodentia, Muridae. The record is from RefSeq and is marked validated.
CUCAGUGAGUUUGAGGACAGCCUGAUCUACAGAGGAGUUCCAGGACAGCCAGAGCUACAUAAUAGAGAGAACCUGUCUCAAAAACCAACAAGAAAAUCACUUCAAGAAAGUAAAAGGAGUCUCUAGAAUUAGAGAAAAUAUUCAUGAUUUGACUAUCUCAUCAGAGAUUAAUACUGCAAAUAUACAAGAGUUCCUAAAAUGCAACACAGCAAUUAUAUCUACCAACUGAAUUAAGAACUGUCAAUGGAAGCCAGACAUGGUGGGGCACUAAUUUAAGCCCAACACUUGGGGGCCAGAGGCAGGGAGAGAGGCAGAGAGGCAGAGGCAGGCAGAUCUCUGUGUGUUCGAGAUCAGCUGGGUCUACAAUGCAAGUCCCAGGGCAGCCAGGGCUGUUAUACAGAGAAAAGGAGGGGGAGGAGGGGGAGGGAGAGGGAAAAGGAGAAGGAAAAUUAAGAAAGAAAGAAAGAAAAAGAAAGAAAGAAAGAAAGAGAAAGAGAAGAAGAGAGAAAGAAAGAGAGGAAGAGAGAAAGAAAGAAGAAAAUGGAAGAACUCAAGGGACAUUUUCCUAAGAUUAUACAAAUGGCCAACAAGCACAUGCAAAGACUUUCAGUAUUACUAAUUACUAGGGAAAUGUAAAUCAAGUUUACAGUGAAGUGAUGCGUUUAUUAGAAUGGACACUAUCAAAAGAGCAGGAAAUCUGCGUUUAUAAAGAUAUGAAAUACUUGUUAUUCAUGGUUGUUGCUGUUGUUCAGGCAGGGUCUCACACAGUAAUCAGGAAUGGCCUGGAACUCAUCAAGUGGCACAGGCUAGCCUCAAACUUGCAGCAAUCCUGUUGCCCCAGCCUCCUGAAUGCUAGAAUUACAAAAUGAGCCAAGGUGUUCAUAUCAGGGGCAAUGAAAAAUUAUAUACCUGCCACUGAGAGCGGCGUGACCCACACCAAUGCAAAUACCUCUGCUGAGAUUCCAUCUCACUCCAGUCAGAAAGGCAAUCAUUAAAGAUAAAUAACAAGAUAACAACAAAUGCUGGCAAGGAUUUGGAAAGAAAGAACCCUUAUAUACUAUUUGUGGGACUAUAAACAGAUACUAUGGAAGACAGAAGAUUCCUAAAACUAGAGCUACCGUCUGAUCUAGUUGACAUACAUACAUACAUAUAUAUAUGUAUGCACACACACACACACAUAUAUACAAAUGAAUGAUUGUCAGUACACAAGAGAUACCUACAAUAUGCAUAUUUUAUCACAACACUACUCCCACAACGGACAAGUUACAGAACCAAACCAGACACCCACCAAGAUAUGAAUUGUUUAAAAUAUAUACACAUACAAUGGAAUAUUAGAAUCAAAGUCAAAGCUAGGAAUAUAGCUCACUAGAUAUAGCCCAGUUGGAGUGAUUGCCUAUCAUAUAUGAGGUUUUUGGGUUUGAUAUCCAGAACUGAAAACUAAGAACUGCCAGGAAUGGUUACUGUGGUUGUUUGACUAGAUGCCCCUCACAGUCCUGGGCACUUGAACACUUGUUUCCAGUUGAUGGCUAUUUGCGGAGGAGCAAGUGUGGCCUUGCUGGAGAAAUUAUGUCACUGAGGACAGGCUUUGAGGUUUCAAAAGACUCCUAUCAGCUUAAGUUAGCUCAAGACUUUCUGUUUGUGCUUAGAGAAAUAUGCUCCCAGCUGCUGCCCUAGCUGCUCGCUACCUCCGAACCGCCAUAACGAUGGCUAUCCCUCUGGAACCGUGAGCGCCAAAUAAUCUUUUAUAGUUGCCUUGGCCAUGUGUUUUAUCACCGAAUAGUAACUGACAGCCCUUUCUGUAUCCUCAGCACUUCUCCCAAAUAAAUCUCCUAGAACUCUGUAGACGAUAUGCUGGCCUUGAACUCAGAGAUCCAUCUGCCUCUGCCUUCUGUGCGCUGGGACUUAAGGUGUGCGCUACUGCACCCCCACAAAUCAAACUUCCUGAACAACCACUUAAACCUUGUAAAUUACUCUGAAUAAUUUUCCUUAAAAACAAACACCAAUAACAACGGAGAGGCGCCUACACAUAACAGUUGCAAAAUACUCCUAUGCAAAAUUCUCCCUUGAAAAGGCCAAGAAACCCAUACUCACCCUUGGGCUUUAUCUUGUUUUGUUUUGUUUUGUUUUUUCCCCCUGAGCACCUAUUAGCCACUGUGCUCAAGAGUGCUAAAAUUAUCUUUUAAUAAAUCCCAAUUCUGCUUCAUAUUGGUUUGUCAUGAAGUUGUUUUCUACAAAACCAUGAAUCUUGCUUUUUCCUGAAAAGACGUUUUUAAGGGGAAAACGUCUUAGGCUGCAGACUGAGUUCCACACUAUCCUUGGGUACAGCGUGCGACACAGAACAAACAGAAACCGCGAACACGCUGCGGUCCUGGUUCCCAGACUGGAACGUGACAAACCCAAACUUUUUUUGUUUUGAGACAGCAUCUUACUACUUGGCUGUGCUGCCUUUGAACUCUUCAGCAAUCUUCCUUGCCUUCGCUUCUCGAAUAUUUUUAAGGUUUUUUUCCCCUGCUAUGCCAGGCUUGGCAUCAAGUUUACUACUUGCUUGUGAGAGUCUGCGCAGCCGCGAAGAAUGGAGUCCGUGUCUGUUUGCUCAGUUGGGAACCAAUAAAGUUGAACGCCUUCAAAGGGGGCCUAGCCUCUUAGGCAGGGCUGGGUAAUCUUGACAAGGAACCAGACUGGAAACUCGCGCGCUUCCAGGUCCUCCCGACCUCCGUGAGCAGCGUAGUCCUCCCUACAGGCGGAGCUUUCGUGCUGAGGAAAAGUUGCGGGGGGGACUUCCGGUGCUAGGGACCACGCGUGGGCGGGGUUUCCGGUACGGCGGCGAGCGCGGCUGUGGCAGUCUUUCCCGGUAACAAGAGGCGCCCGUGCGGGGCAGCAGCAUCAUGAAGCCUAGACCCGGGGUUUUCGUAGACAGGAAACUGAAGCAGCGGGUCAUUCAGUACCUCAGUAGUAACAGAUGUGGCAAAUAUGUGGACACUGGAAUCUUAGCAUCCGACUUGCAAAGACUGUACAGUGUAGAUUAUGGUCGAAGAAAAAGAAAUGCUUUCAGGAUUCAGGUAGAAAAAGUAUUUAGCAUAAUUAGUAGUGAGAAAGAACUUAAGAAUCUUAAAGAACUAGAAGAUGGACAUCUGGCAAAAAGAGCAAGACAAGAUGAAGAGGAUGAGUACACUGAAAGCUAUUCUGAUGAUGAUUCGAACAUGGAAGAUUACCCAGAUCCACAGUCAGCAAAUCCCAUGAACAGCUCCCUGCUCUCUUUGUAUCGGAGAGGAAACUCAGAGUCUGUUUCAACCACUCCGAAGUGGGGACAGAGAGAAGCCACCACUUCCACGCCAUUGCUGACGUCUAAAACGGGCUCCGUGCCAUUGAAGACCCCUGCCCGAGAAUCUGAGGGAGGAUGGUUUAUUGACAAAACUCCCGGUGGAAAGAAAGAAAGUCUUCCCUUGGACCUAUCAGAUGACCAAAGCAACUCUAAAAAGCAGGAUUCUGAGAUUCAGAUUUUAAAAGACUCUUCUCUUUUGGAAAGUGAUAAGAAAAGGAAAGGUAGGGCAAAGGGCAAAGGAAACAAAAGAAAAACAGAGAAUCUUCAAGAAGUAGAUGGAGAAAUAGAAGCUCUUCUGCAAAAGAAAGCCAAAGCAAGGAGUACAGAGUUGCAGAUUUCCAAUGUGAAGUUUGAAGAUGUUGGAGGCAAUGAUGCAACAUUAAAAGAAGUCUGCAAAAUGCUCAUACACAUGCGCCAUCCAGAGGUAUACCAGCACCUUGGUGUCGUGCCCCCUCGUGGAGUUCUCCUGCAUGGACCACCAGGCUGUGGGAAGACAUUACUUGCACACGCAAUAGCAGGGGAACUUGACUUGCCGAUUCUGAAAGUGGCUGCUCCAGAGAUUGUGUCCGGAGUUUCUGGAGAGUCUGAGCAGAAGCUCCGUGAGUUAUUUGACCAGGCUGUGUCAAAUGCACCAUGUAUUGUUUUCAUUGAUGAAAUUGAUGCAAUUACCCCCAAAAGAGAAGUUGCUUCAAAAGAUAUGGAACGAAGAAUUGUAGCCCAGCUUCUAACCUGCAUGGAUGAUCUGAAUAACGUGGCAGCUACAGCUCGGGUCCUAGUUAUUGGAGCUACUAACAGGCCAGACUCAUUGGAUCCUGCUUUGAGACGUGCAGGAAGGUUUGACCGAGAAGUCUGCUUGGGUAUCCCAGAUGAGGCAGCCAGAGAAAGAAUUCUCCAAACGUUGUGCCGAAAACUGAGGCUUCCGGAAACUUUUAAUUUUUGUCACUUAGCACACCUAACACCAGGCUUUGUUGGUGCUGAUCUGAUGGCUCUUUGCCGAGAGGCGGCCAUGUGUGCGGUCAAUAGGGUCUUGAUGAAACAACAGGCGCAGCAGAAGAAAAAGCCUGAGAUUGAAGGUUUGCCCUCUGAAGGAGACCAGGAGGAAAGGCUGGGAGCUGAGCCCACUUCUGAAACACAGGAUGAAUUGCAAAGGCUGUUGGGGUUGCUAAGAGACCAAGAUCCCCUCUCAGAGGAACAGAUGCAAGGACUGUGCAUUGAAUUGAACGAUUUCAUUGUUGCUCUAGCAGAAGUCCAGCCUUCUGCCAAAAGGGAAGGCUUUGUAACUGUCCCUAAUGUGACAUGGGCUGAUAUUGGUGCCCUGGAAGAUAUUAGAGAUGAGCUUAUAAUGGCAAUAUUGGCACCUGUUCGCAACCCAGACCAGUUCAGAACUCUUGGUUUGGGGACUCCAGCUGGCAUCCUCCUAGCUGGUCCUCCUGGGUGUGGAAAAACUCUGCUAGCAAAGGCUGUGGCAAAUGAGUCUGGACUAAAUUUUAUAUCUGUCAAAGGCCCUGAAUUAUUGAAUAUGUAUGUUGGUGAGAGUGAACGUGCUGUUCGACAAGUUUUUCAGCGAGCCAAGAACUCAGCCCCCUGCGUGAUAUUUUUUGAUGAAGUGGAUGCUUUAUGUCCUCGGAGAUCAGACCGAGAAACAGGUGCUAGUGUUCGUGUGGUGAAUCAGCUGCUUACAGAGAUGGAUGGCUUAGAAACACGCCAGCAAGUUUUUAUUUUGGCUGCCACCAAUAGACCAGGAGCCAGAGGAAUAGGCACUUGUGAGCCCCCUAACACGGAUUUUGGGAUACAAACUCAAGUACUUUAGAAGAAAUAACCAUUGAGUCAUCCCCCCAGCCCUCUCGCUAUGAUAUCAUUGACCCUGCCAUUCUGCGCCCAGGCCGCCUGGACAAAACGCUCUUUGUGGGUUUGCCUCCCCCAGCAGACCGUGUUGCCAUAUUAAAGACUAUUACAAAAAAUGGCACCAAACCUCCACUGGAUGAAGAUGUAAAUUUGGAAACAAUUGCUAAUGACCUUCGUUGUAAUUGCUAUACGGGUGCGGACCUCACUGCUCUGGUACGGGAAGCUUCUCUCUGUGCCCUGAGACAAGAAAUAACAGCUCAGAAGAAUGGUGUUGGAGCAGGUAUGACCUUCUCCAGGAUGUCUCCAUUCUACUUUGUCAUUCUGGAUAUUGUAAAACACUGCUUUAAAUAGUGUUUCUCUAGCCUUUCUUAGAACAUUGUGUGAUGAGGAUGACUUUGUUUUGAUGGAACCUCUAGAAGAUUUAAGAAAUAUACAGUUUUCUACAUAUCAAGAUUUUUUUCCUUUGAAAUAUAAAAUCAAAUGGCAUUAUGUGUUGGUCACUGGUGGAGCAUUUUCUUAGCAUGUGCAAGGCUCAGGAUUCUUUCCCCAGCACCACAAAGCCAGAAAGCCAAAGACAGAAAUCUGUGUAUUACCUUCAUAGAUGGAUGUGCUUCCUAUUUACCUCACAUUUUGACAGUAUUUUUUAUACUACUAUUUGGGUAUUGUGUGGCCAGAAAAGAUUAAAUUAUGACCUGUACUCCAGCCAUGCCAAGUACUUUUUAGCUUUACUUUGCUUACUUUGCCUAAGUGUCUCUGAGGUGCUGUGUGCUGUACAAGUGUACUCUUGUUCGAACUUCAGGUGUGCACUGGUCUCCUUUCAAUGAUGUGUGUGGCUGUGUUUGUGGUGGGUUGGGUGGAGAGAAAUGUGUGCACAUGAUACAGGUGCCUUCAGAGACCACAGAGGCAUUAAGAUCCUCGAGGGCUGGAGUUAACAGUGGCUGUGAACCACCUGACAUGGCUACUGGGAACUGAACUCAGAUCCUCUACAAGAGCAGGAUGCUCUCUUAACACCAACCCAUCUCUACAGCUCCACUUCUGUGAAUCUCAAAGCUAAAUAUUGUGACAACAACAUUUGAUUAGCAUAGAUUUACUGGCACACAUACAUACAUUUAUUAGAAAGUUUUUUUUUCUUUUCCUGAAUAAUAUUAAGAUUCAGUUGUCAAAACUUCUUUUUUUUAAUAAACUGUAUUCUCUUCCUUUUGGACAUUAAUGAUAAUAAGCAAGCUUAGAACAUUUUAUUAACAAAAAUGAGAGCCACAUUUGGUUGUGUACCUUUAAUCCCAUGCUUAAAGGGACUGGAGAGAAGGUCCCGAGUUCAAAUCCCAGCAACCACAUGGUGGCUCACAACCAUCUGUAAUGAGAUUUGCUGCCCUCUUUUGCUGUGUCUGAAGACAGCUACAAUGUACUUAUGUAUAAUAAUAAAAAAUAAAUCUUAAAAAAAAAAAAGAAAGAAACCAAAGUAAAAUGGUCUUUAAUUGUUGAGUCACAUAAUGAUUGUCAUAUCCUUCUUGCCCCCACCUCCAGGACAAUCAAAUCCAAAGUCAUGUAUUCCACUCUGUGAGCUGAAUCUGACCACCAUCUUAGAGUAUUUUUGGUGUUCUUGGUGACUAAAAAGUAACAGGUCUUUCCCAUAUACUGGAGUUGCUAUUAUUUGCCUAUUUUUUUUUUAUAUAUACACACAUAACAAAUGCUGCCAUCUCAGCUUUGCUGUGGCUUUUGUUUUUAGCUCUCUGGCCUUUGGAGACUGCGCUAAUACCUUAUCCAAAUCAAACGCAAUUCUGCUGUCAUUUCUCAGUGACAUGUUCAGCAACAUGUAUUAUUUUAUUUUAGGUAAAUAUAUUAUCCUAAUAUCUGUUUACUAUUUUGAGUAUAAAUUGUCCUCACUUAAGUUUAUCAUGUUAACAUUGUAAACCAAGUUAUAUUUUACCAACUAGCCUUAUAAAGAUUACAACCCCAUCUAAUCCAGUUUUGUGACAUGCAUAUGUACCUUAAUGCUUUUGUCUUUAAGGACAUCUAGCCUCUGUGACUCAGUAGUAUAAACUUGUAUUCAAGAACAUGCCCUUGGGUGGGAAUACUGGUUCUCAGUUACUUGUGGUUCUGUUGACCAUCUCUUAAGUUCUUUCUACAGGAGACCACACUGGCCAUUUUUGACAGUGUGACAUGCACAGUACCAUCCCAACAUUCCUGAGAGACAGACCACCUACAGCAGUCCUGUUUCCUCAAGUGAGAUGGAGAGAGUCUCAGUGAGGCAGACCUGGAGAGGGGCAUGUGUACAUGUGCUUGAAUAGUUCCAUCUGAUCGCCCCUCACAGCUUUCUUGUGUUAUUGUACUGAGAUGUAUGUUUUUACAUCUUCUCCACAGGUGAGCUUAAGGUCAGUCAUAAGCACUUUGAAGACGCUUUCAAGAAAGUAAAACCAUCCAUAUCAAUAAAGGAUCAAGUGAUGUAUGAAGCUCUGCAGAGGUCCCUCAGUCAGUGAUGUUUGCGCUACCUGGCAUGGAGGAGGUGUCUAGUGUGUGGAACUCACCACGAAUCACAGUUACUCUGGAGGGUCUACUUUCAGCUUGACACCAAUGAUCCUUUUUUUUUUUUUUUAAAUCAGAACCAGUUAUCUCUUUAUUUUUUGGAAAGUAAGUUGGCUGUGUUAGUAAAACCACAUCUGCUAGUGUGGGCUGAUAAACCAUGUGCUAGGCCCCAAGAACCCUGAGCCACUGUCCUGACCCUGCUGACUGACAGGCAAGGGACAGCCACCCAAGCCCAAUAAGAGGAGUAAAAAAAGUAGCAAAAUUGCAUUCACCACUGUCUCCCAGGCUUUGAAAGGUAGCAGUCUAGGCUAUAAAAGUCUAGAAGCUCUGCAUAGGGAGUGUUAAGCCUGCAGCAAAACAACUUGUAAAAACUCAAUAAAUUAUAGAUAGACUUGUAACAGAUAUCUAUUAACAUCUGAACCUUCUUACAGGAUCAGUCCCUCCCUGGGCACAGGCUCCUGCCUGGAAUACAUAGCAAUUAGAAUAAUCUGUAUGAAAAAUACCAGUUCACCUUGAAAUUUUUAAACAUCUCCUAAAGAAAGUUCCUAUAUAAAUCUAAUCCCUCACAAAAGAGGGCCGAAGGCAACAGGAAACGCUCUCUGGCGCCAUUACUAACUAGGAGAGCUAGCUGCUCAUGCGCCAAGGGGCUAUGUCCAGCCUGGCAGAGGCCAGACUCACGGUCUCAGCAACUCCCUAAAUCCAGCAUGAACCUCUUUCACUGUUAAUAAGUUACAACUUAAAAUGUCUGAAAUACCCUGGGACUAAAUGCUGUACCCUGAGGUUGGGGACUGGAGCUCUGGGAGUUGAUAAAUAUAGCUUUACAAAUAUACAGGUCCAGUACAAACAAAACUGCCAUGCCAGAAAAGUCCCUUGCUUCUCAGCCUGUUCUUGCCAGUUUACUAGUGAGCCCCAUGGAGUAUCUUGCUCCCUUGGGCUUCAGCUUUGCCUUUUUUCAUAUAGAUGUGUGUGUGUGUGUGUUACACAACAUCUAUUUAUAUAAAUAUACAUUUUCCUCUGGAAUACACCUUUCUGAUAGACAUUAUCUCCCCCCCCCCUUUUUCAGGUACCUGUAAUUUGUGUCUGAGAGGCAGGGUGGGAAGCAGGCAGCCUGGAGAUGUCGAGCUAUGACACCCCCUAGAUAUAAGGUGCCAUGUAGGAGAGAGGCUUGCCACACAGAGCAGAGCCUCCCUGCAAGCUCAGCUUGGGGCACCAAAGAGGCCAAGGCCCACUCUCUACAAUGGUCCCUGUAAGGUAGCAGUGAGAAAUGAGAGGGCCAGAACCCCAGGGUUGCACAGGGUGGGCCUCUUAACGUUCUCAUUUGGUCUUCCUGGCCCUGGCCACUCAGGAGAUCACUAUACAGCAGUGCAUGUUCCCAAGGGGCAGGGGCCUCUGCACCCAGGAGCUAAGGAUAAACAUGCAGGAAGUCUUGUCUAUUGUUGACCCAUUGCACUGGGCUGGCUAGGGUCCACUGCACACCAGCAGUAGCAGGGCGGGUUAGGGUCCACAGAAACAUUGGCUGGGGCUUGGUCUGUGGGACUGCAGGCCUUUCACAUCCGAGGUCCCCCAUUAUUGGGUGGGGGUAGCAACUCAUGGGUGAACACCCUGUCAUCCCUGGACAGGCUGGAGCUAGGAGUGUCCCAACCACCUGGAGAGGACUGCUCAAAUGGCACGGAGAGGUCCAAGUACUUGUCAGUUGAUGUCACAGUGAGGAUGCGGUCUAAAUCCUCUACCUACUGCUUGAAGGUGGGCCUCUGAAGACACUGCAUGCCAAUAUCCCCACGUGACCAUGUACAGGCCACGUGUGCAGUUGUGGGGCUUGUCCAUGCAGUGGCCCUCUGUAAGUAGCUUGAAAAGCUCUUCCACUGGGAUGCCAGGAUACGGUGAGAUGUCCUAGCGGAGGACACCAAAGAACCAGACAUCACUCUGGUGGGUGAAGACUCUGUAAAAAAGGGCCUCUGAUUCCAUCCACUUCACAGGUAGCAGGCCACUUGUGGUCUUCUUGUAGUAAUCCAGGUUGUGCACGUCUUGGGCCAGGCCAAAGUCUGUAAUCUUCAUCACAUUGUCCGAGGUAACCAGGACAUUUCUGGCAGCCAAGUCUCUGAAUACACUUCUGGGAAGCCAAGUAUUCUGUGCUCCAUGUUACCUGGUAGGCACAGAACACUAGAUCCUUGCAGGUAAGCUGUUCUCCUGGCAGCCUGCAGUCCAUGCCUGGAGGCCAUUAUGCCAGAAGGAACUCUUGAAAAUUGCCUUGUCUGCAUACUCCACCAGCACAUACAGAGCCCACCCAGUGCAGGCCCAGCAGAUCAUCAUCUCCAUCUCAGAUACCAGGUCCAACAGCAUCUUCACAGUAUCUUCUGCCAUGACAGUCUGUCCAAAGCAGCCUUCUCCCAGUCUUACCAAGUGUCAGUUGGGUCCUGGAUAGUUCCUACUUGGGGUCAGCAGGCAGCUCAAGUUCAGAAACAUUGGCCAUAAUAGGACCUUCUCCUGAAGACACCAAGCAAUCCGGAUAAGGGCUACAUUUGAAGUUCAUAGAGGAAUUAGAUUCCAAGGACACCUGUCAGUUAAGCGGGGAAGUGCCUUGGGGGACUGGGCAGACCGUCACCACAGCUGCCACCACUAGGAUGAAGAGGAAGAAGCCCACCCCGUAGUCGCUGAGGACACCCGCACACAUGCUCCUCAGCUGUGUCUUCAGUUAGGUCCUUCCCAUCUUCAUUAUCUCCUGAGGAUGGAGCAUCUGUCACAUGCAUACUGAAGCCUCUGAGAGCCCACCAGGAUGCAGUGGGAAACCACCAGUUCUGUACCAUUCUUAGCCCAGACUGUGGGACUUGUGGGGGCACCUCUACAUGUCAGCUCCACGGUGUCCUCACUGCCAAAGGCCACCUGCUCCUACUGGCUAGGUUCAGGCCCUGGAACCUCUGCCGCUCUCUUUACAGCUCUGGACCAGAAGGCUCUGAAGUAGGUCCAGCCAUCACUGCCAUGCAGAAUACUUUUUUUAAAAUUAGGUAUUUUCUUCAUUUACAUUUCAAAUGCUAUCCCAUAAGUCCCCCAUAUCUUCCCCCCACUCCCCUACCCACCCACUCCCACUUCUUGGCCCUGGCAUUCCCCUGUACUGAGGCAUAAAAAGUUUGCAAGACCAAUGGGCCUCUCUUUCCAAUAAUGGCCAACUAGGCCAUCUUCUGAUACAUAUGCAGCUAGAGACACAAGCUCUGGGGGGGGGGGGGUACUGGUUAGUUCAUAUUGUUCCACCUAUAGGGUUGCAGACCCCUUUAGCUCCUUGGGUACUUUCUCUGGCUCCUCCAUUGGGGGCCCUGUGAUCCAUCCAAUAGCUGACUGUGAGCAUCCACUUCUGUGUUUGCUAGGCCCCGGCAUAGCCUCACAAGAGACAGCUAUAUCUGGGUCCUUUCAGCAAAAUCUUGCUAGUGUAUGCAAUGGUGUCAUCGUUUGGAGGCUGAUUAUGGGAUGGAUCCCCGGGUAUGGCAGUCUCAGAAUACUUUUAUCACGCCGUCCGGUACUACCAUGGCUCCAGAGUGAGGGUGGGGGGGAUGCAGCAUCCUCAAGUGGGUGCGCACGGGCAUGCUGCAAUCCACACCUGGAGCCUGAGGCGGUGGGAGGAUGCCUCACUUGCAGCUCCAGCUCUGGCCAGCCCUUCCAGGGUCUCCUCUGUCCCAGUGGCCGGCUGCCCACCAGUGAGUCUGUCUGUCCCCCACCCCCACCGCCCACUAGAGUGAACCGCGACACAGAUGAUCUUAUUGUAAGCAUUUUAUUUUUCAAAUUAAUGAGGCCCAACUGAAGGAAAUGGUGUUUCCCAUCUGACCAGCUUUGUGGAAAAACUCCCUACCUACUUUUUAAGAGAGAGAGAGAAACCUGAUAAAGCCUUAUUUAAAUAAAAUUUUAUUUCGAACUAUCUUGAUCAUGCAUAAAAGUUAUAAAAAAAACUUUCCUUGAGAAUUGAUCACCCUACAUCCUGUCACCUCAGAUACAUAUUCAUAUCAGUUUUCUGUAAACCAGGAUAUUUUUCUACAUAACCAACCAUCAAAAACACUGACACAUUGCUACUAUUUAACUCUCUAGCUCUAGUCAGUCUUUCUCGGUUUUUCUCUUGUCAUUUAUGGUAAAGGACUCUGGUCUAAGUUAGCUAUUCCAGUUGUUAACUCUUCUUAAGAGUUUCCACAAGUUUUUGUUGUUGGGUUUUGGGUUUUGUUUGGGGAUAGUAAGUACCCCUGACUGGCCUGCAACCUACUGUAUAGAGUAGGCUGGCCUCAGACUCCCAGUGUUCUGUGUGCCUCUGCUUCCUGGGUGCUGAGAUUAAAGGUGUAUGCCCCCAUAGCCAGCAUUUUUUAACUUCUUGGGUCAAUGAUUGGAUUGCCUUAGUUUUAUCUCUUUAAAGAUAUAGUCGUAAAGCUGUUCUCUGCAUCCUCUCAGGUGGUAAUGCCUUGUUACUUAAGACUCACUGCAGACACUUAAUUCAAGUGACUUCUUACACUACAGAGUUACUCCUUUUCCUUUUUAACUCACACCUGUGUGGGGGAAGAUAAUCUCACCUCUCGUACACGUGUUGCGCCCUCACCAGAUUCAGGAUAGUUUUCAUUAUCAUGGUUGUAUGUUCAGAUGUGUCUUUGGUAAAUUUCUAAACUGAUGUUUUAUGAGAGUUUAUGUUGUGUCAGAAUUAUUUCAUCUGAUUUUGUUUAUACAAUAACAGCAAUACUGUUAUUGUAUAAACAGGUCUGGUUAUUUCCUUUUCUUCCUAAGUUUUUAUUCUAUCUCCUUCUGCAAAGUCUUUGAGGUUCCUAUUAUGAAUUUGAGAAUGGGGUUGGAGACUCUUCUUGAGGUCCUGAGUUCAAUUCCCAGCAACUACAUGGUGGCUCACAACCAUCUGUAAUGGGAUCCGAUACCCUCUUCUGGUGUGUCCGAAGAUGGCUACUGUGUGUGUGUGUGUGUGUGUGUGUGUGUGUGUGUAUAAUCUUUUAAAAAAUAAAGAAUUUAAGAACGAAGGAGCUGGAGAAAUAAAUGGCUUAGUAAUUAAGAGUACACACUGCUCUUUCAGAGGACCACGUUUGAUUCCCAGCACCCACAUAGGUAGCUCAAAACUGCCGAUGCUCCUAGCUACAGGGGAUCCUGCACUUCUGGCUUCUAUAGGCACCUGUGCUCAUAUGCAUGUAGCCCCUCCCACCCCCACACACUUUUUUUAAAAAUUAAACAUAUUUUUAUAAAACAAAUGGAAUAUAUUCAAAAGGUAUUUUUAGAAGAAAUGUUGUAAUCUAUUUUCCACCCAGUAACUGUCUUCUGUUCAACUUGUACCACAGCAGACACAGCUUGUAUUUUAUGUCCAGGCCACCAGAAAUAAACGCACUUAGACCCAGCAUUCAGUUGUCAAGAAGAGCUGAUAUGGCAGAUAGUGUUUUCAUUUGGCAUAUUACAAGUACAGCAGCAGCAGGCUCAACUGCUCAGAUUCACUAUUUAAGACUUUCUGACAUUUACUUCUAAUUCUCCAGUCACGCUCAUCAUCUACCUCUACUGAUCCGGUUUGGUUUUUCUCUCCUCUGUUGGUCUCUUUCUGGGAACCAGUAUGUUCUCCUUUAUGUCCUCCAUUGAACAGAAUUAUCAUUCUGCUUAGUACCUACAAACCUCUGCCAAGCCCUCCCAAAAAAGGGAGUCAUGCUGACUUUGUAACUGUAAUCCCGAUUUUAUUCAGUUGUAUUCUUCCAACUCUGUGUGGUGUGUGUGUGUGUGUGUGUGUGUGUGUGUGAGAGAGAGAGAGAGAGAGAGAGAGAGAGAGAGAGAGAGAGAGAGAGAGAGACACGCUGGGUCAGAGUACAACUUUUAGGAGGUAGUUCCUUUUUUCUACCACAUGAUCCCCAGGAUCAAGAUCAGGUUGUGAGGCUUAGUUAGCAAGUGCCUUUACCUGCUCAAUCAUCUCACCAGCCUAUUAUCAAUUCCAUUUGUAUAUUCAAUACUCUGUAGACUGCUUGACACUCUGUUCUUAUGUGGUGUUCUCAACUCAGUAGAAUCUUUAGACAUUCACAUUUUAUAGAAAUAUAGAUUGCGAGUUUGCUAAUACUAACAAGAGGAGCAGAGGCUGGGAAGCUCCUAGAUUAGCACUUGGAAGUGCUGUUGGCAUCUUGGUUGGGAAUGUUUCUUAACCAAGGUUUUCAUGACUGGCUCACCUGUGCCCUUCACAAGAACCCUUGAGAUCUUACUCUUCCAAUUUAAGGAUGAGAAAUUUACCUAAGGUUUGGAGGGAUGACUCAAGGGUUGAGUUCAGUUCCCAGCAACCACAUGGUGGCUCCCAACCUUCUGCAAUGGGAUCUGUUGCCCUCUUCUGGUGUGUCUGAAGACAGCAACACUCUACUCAUAUACAUCAAUGAAAUCUUUAAAAGAAAGAAAUGUACCUAUGUGGGAGUGCCCAGAAGUAGUACCCAGAUGUGGGAAAGUGGCACGUUGGACUCAAUUUCAGUUUGCUUUGCUGUCCUGCCAAUGAUCUUACUCUAUUUUGUCAGGGUGCUCUUUCAGCCAGCCCCAACCCCUUACCACUGAGUGGCGGCACAUUCAGGAUUUUCUGUGACUAAUGUCCUUAUGGCUUUUGCCUUUAUAAAUGCUGAAUCCAUGAAUUUUGGGACAAGAGUUCUUUGUGACAAGAGCCUUCUCUCUAUCUUAAAUAAAGAAUUCUUAUUUGGCCUUA